RNAcentral lists this ribosomal RNA (462 nucleotides) under uncultured bacterium. Its description in RNAcentral is "partial 16S ribosomal RNA". It matches the Rfam family "Bacterial small subunit ribosomal RNA", at positions 28 to 507 of the family's 1533-position model. The record is from RNAcentral.
GACGAACGCUGGCGGCGUGCUUAACACAUGCAAGUCGAGCGGAAAGGCCCUUCGGGGUCCUCGAGCGGCGAACGGGUGAGUAACACGUGAGUAACCUGCCCUAGGCUUUGGGAUAACCCCGGGAAACCGGGGCUAAUACCGGAUAUGACCUGGUGCCGCAUGGUGUUGGGUGGAAAGUUUUUUCGGCCUGGGAUGGGCUCGCGGCCUAUCAGCUUGUUGGUGGGGUGAUGGCCUACCAAGGCGAUGACGGGUAGCCGGCCUGAGAGGGCGACCGGCCACACUGGGACUGAGACACGGCCCAGACUCCUACGGGAGGCAGCAGUGGGGAAUAUUGCACAAUGGGCGGAAGCCUGAUGCAGCGACGCCGUGUGAGGGAUGAAGGCCUUCGGGUUGUAAACCUCUUUCAGCAGGGACGAAGCGUGAGUGACGGUACCUGCAGAAGAAGCGCCGGCCAACUACGUG